Molecule: ribosomal RNA, 492 nt
Filed under: uncultured bacterium
Lineage: Bacteria
Description: partial 16S ribosomal RNA
Rfam family: Bacterial small subunit ribosomal RNA
Source: RNAcentral
AUUGAACGCUGGCGGCAUGCUUUACACAUGCAAGUCGAACGGUAACAGGCCUUCGGGUGCUGACGAGUGGCGAACGGGUGAGUAAUGCAUCGGAACGUGCCCAGAGGUGGGGGAUAACGCAGCGAAAGCUGUGCUAAUACCGCAUGUGAUCUGAGGAUGAAAGCGGGGGACCAAGCAGCAAUGUUUGGCCUCGCGCCUCUGGAGCGGCCGAUGUCAGAUUAGGUAGUUGGUGGGGUAAAGGCCUACCAAGCCGACGAUCUGUAGCUGGUCUGAGAGGACGAGCAGCCACACGGGGACGGGAACCGGCCCCAGCCCCCGAGGGGGGGCGGCGGGGGGGAGUUUGGGACAAGGGGGGCAAGCCUAACCCAGAAAGGCGGCGGGGGGGAAGAGGGCCUGCGGUUUGUAAACCUGUUUUGGGGGAAAAAAAAAGGCUGGGCCAAACACCUGGGGUUGAUGACGUUCCGGAAAGAAAAAGCCCCGGCUAACUACGUG